This 538-nucleotide ribosomal RNA is filed under the name uncultured bacterium. RNAcentral describes it as "bacterial SSU rRNA". It matches the Rfam family "Bacterial small subunit ribosomal RNA", at positions 361 to 909 of the family's 1533-position model. The record is from RNAcentral.
AUCUUCGGCAAUGGGCGAAAGCCUGACCGAGCGACGCCGCGUGAGCGAUGAAGGCCAUUAGGUUGUAAAGCUCUGUCGAGGGGGAACAAGCCGCAAGGUUGAGUGAUCCCUGGAGGAAGCACGGGCUAAGUUCGUGCCAGCAGCCGCGGUAAGACGAACCGUGCGAACGUUGUUCGGAAUCAUUGGGCUUAAAGGGCGCGUAGGCGGGUGUUCAAGUCCGGGGUGAAAGCCUCCAGCUCAACUGGAGAAGAGCCCCGGAUACUGUUCACCUGGAGAGGGAUAGGGGCACAUGGAACUUCCGGUGGAGCGGUGAAAUGCGUAGAGAUCGGAAGGAACGCCGGUGGCGAAAGCGAUGUGCUGGAUCUUUUCUGACGCUGAGGCGCGCAAGCUAGGGGAGCAAACGGGAUUAGAUACCCCGGUAGUCCUAGCCCUAAACGAUGGGUACUGGGUUGCGGGUCAGACAUAGACUCGCAGCCGAAGCAAAAGUGUUAAGUACCCCGCCUGGGGAGUAUGGUCGCAAGGCUGAAACUCAAAGGAA